UACAGAGGGUGCGAGCGUUGUUCGGAUUCACUGGGCGUAAAGGGUGCGUAGGCGGUCGGGUAAGUCUGAUGUGAAAUCUCACAGCUUAACUGUGAAACUGCAUUGGAUACUAUCCGGCUAGAGGAAUGGAGGGGAGACUGGAAUACUUGGUGUAGCAGUGAAAUGCGUAGAUAUCAAGUGGAACACCAGUGGCGAAGGCGAGUCUCUGGACAUUUCCUGACGCUGAGGCACGAAAGCCAGGGGAGCAAACGGG
This 253-nucleotide ribosomal RNA is filed under the name uncultured bacterium. RNAcentral describes it as "partial 16S ribosomal RNA". It matches the Rfam family "Bacterial small subunit ribosomal RNA", at positions 524 to 776 of the family's 1533-position model. The record is from RNAcentral.